RNAcentral lists this ribosomal RNA (89 nucleotides) under Enterobacter asburiae. Its description in RNAcentral is "partial 16S ribosomal RNA". It matches the Rfam family "Bacterial small subunit ribosomal RNA", at positions 1 to 86 of the family's 1533-position model. The record is from RNAcentral. Lineage: Bacteria; Pseudomonadati; Pseudomonadota; Gammaproteobacteria; Enterobacterales; Enterobacteriaceae.
AAAUUGAAGAGUUUGAUCAUGGCUCAGAUUGAACGCUGGCGGCAGGCCUAACACAUGCAAGUCGAGCGGUAGCACAGGGAGCUUGCUCC